Molecule: non-coding RNA, 60 nt
Filed under: unclassified sequences
Description: Li+-I sequence
Rfam family: nhaA-I RNA
About the family: Acidobacteria, Alphaproteobacteria, Betaproteobacteria and Gammaproteobacteria, Verrucomicrobia, cand. division NC10. Downstream gene
Source: Rfam by way of RNAcentral
GGGUGCCCACCACAUCAGGUGGUGAUGCAGGUCAUUCAGGUACAGGUCGGGCCGCCUGUA